Molecule: long non-coding RNA, 444 nt
Filed under: Mustela putorius furo (domestic ferret)
Lineage: Eukaryota; Metazoa; Chordata; Mammalia; Carnivora; Mustelidae
Description: lncRNA (ENSMPUG00000030840.1)
Source: RNAcentral
ACAAGGCUUGUGCAGCUCUGGAAAAUAACCUAUUUCAGUGAAGAGGGCCCAAGAGGAAAAGCUAUCCCCGUGAUUUAGGGUGAUGAUUUCAAUUCUCAAAUGCCCUCUAAAUAUAGUCUGCUUGCUGGAAAAAAGGUGUUUACAAUGGGAUUAGCUUGUGGUAGGUGUCUUGCUUUCAAGAGCCUGGAAGGAAAAAAAAAAAAAAAAGAGAGCCUGGAAGGAGCGCUGAACAGAGGGGAGGAAUAAAUGUGAAAUGAGUUUCAUAGGUGUAUGUUGGCAAGACGAGCAGUAUCUCGGUGGGAAGCCAUUCCGAGGGAGUCGCAUGGGCGGAUGGAUAUGUUUUCUCCUUUUGCUAGUGCGCUAUGGCCAUUGGGACACAGGACAAAGACAAAUCAAGUUGGGACCCAAAGCAUUCGUUUUUAAGAACUGAAUAGAUGAGAGUAG